Non-coding RNA from Salmo salar (Atlantic salmon), 54 nucleotides. The record is from Rfam. NCBI's taxonomy places the organism in Eukaryota, Metazoa, Chordata, Actinopteri, Salmoniformes, Salmonidae.
UGCAAUCACUACUGUAAGUCGCUCUGGAUAAGAGCAUCUGCUAAAUGUCUAAAA